RNAcentral lists this non-coding RNA (28 nucleotides) under Mus musculus (house mouse). The record is from RNAcentral. Lineage: Eukaryota; Metazoa; Chordata; Mammalia; Rodentia; Muridae.
UCCUCCAAGGUGAAAUGUUUAAUGUGUC